Molecule: long non-coding RNA, 5050 nt
Organism: Dermochelys coriacea (leatherback sea turtle)
Lineage: Eukaryota; Metazoa; Chordata; Testudines; Dermochelyidae
Exons: 4
Source: RefSeq, a predicted model, not a curated record
GUGCAGGUUUGUGGGGAGCGAAGCCUACAACUUGGCCACUUGGGGCAAAGCGGGGACGGGGCGCGUGUAGGGGCCAGCCGCUCAGCCCGGCCUAGGGGCCACCACCUCUCCCCCGCAUCACUGUGAAGCGGGAGUAGGAGGAGAUAGCGCCCCCCCCCCACUGUUGCCAACUCAUUGUGAUUUUUUUUUGUUAGGUUUUUUUUUUACGGGAAGCCCUGCGUCCGUAAAGCCCCAGCUCCUGGAGUCCUGUUACUAGACUGCUCUCAUAUCCCACCUUGCUACUGACAGUACCAAUAGCAAGACACCAGUGGCCUGCCGUUGACACAACCUGUGUUAAACUGAUGCAGACUGAAAACUUCAAGGUACUGGGGGCUAAGCCUGAUCAUACUCUUCAUUUCAAGGUAGUACCCAUCGGGGUACUCUCCCCGAAUUACUGUUCUGAGCCCUGCAGCUCUUCUUCCAAGUCGUGUAUCCAGGAACCCUGAUGACAGAACUCCCUGGUGGGGAUGGGAACAUCACUCUUAUCCUUCUCUGGGAUCCCCUGGAUUUUCCCCAGUGACUUUUCUGGUUCCUUUUCUGAAGAGGAAAGAAUUUCGUAUGUGUGGGAGAAAAGAUAGAGAUGAAGAAUGGAAAAAAAUAUUUAACCCUCUUCUUUCCUUUCUAAAUGGCUGCCGUGCUCUCUUUCCAGCCCAUUCCCAAAGAAGAAAGGAAAAGGCCCUGUUUUAUUUUUUUUUAAUCUGCCUAUUUGGCUGAGAAUGAGAAGUGGGUGAAGCAGUGUCCGUCCAGCUUUUUCCAAAACUGGAAAGAAUGUUGCCUGAUGGAGGAGGAAGGAGAGAGAGAGAGAGAGAGAGUGGGUUUACCUCUUCUCUUUUUUUGUUGUUUUGUUUCUCAGUUCAUGAAGACCUGACUGAGAAAUAAGCAGUUAUCACUUCCCACCAGCUGAAUCUGUCUGUCGCUUCCUGACAACCGGACGCCAAUAGGUCCCAGCUAGUCCAGCUGUGGCUAAUUUAACAAGUCACAGGUGUAGCAAUAACCCAGCCAGCAGGAACUGAGUCGGUGUGAAUAUUCUUUCGCACAAAGGACCUGCAGCUACAGCCUGCAGUUCACAUCAGGCAGGAGCUGCAAUGAGAUUCUUGAGGAUGGUUGGAGUAAGUCUCAUAAGAGCCUCAGGAGCUGAAAUCGUGGUCUGCCUGUACUUUGAAUAGACAUAAUGCAUGCUACAUAGUUCAUUUGUCAGUAAAUGUUCAUUUGUGUGCAUCUCAUCACUUCACAAACCUGCCCCAAUCACUCAGCCAAAUGCUGUAGAUGCUGAAAUAAUGCCACAUAACUUAGGAUAUGUCUACCCUACAAAAUUAUUUUAACCUAAGUUAUGUCGACAUAGAGCCACCACAGCAAUUCAAUUGCUUUUGCAUGUUCAGCGCUAUGCUCUUUGUGUCAAAGGUGCCCAUCCUCACCAGGAGUGCUUGCACUGAUUUAACUGUCAGUGCGAGGCAUUAUGGGAUGGCUUCUGAAAGCCAGCAGCAGUGCUGCCACUGCGUGGACCUAACAAUGUCGAUCUAAGCGCUACAUCUCUCAUAGAGGUGACGUUAUUAAGCUGGCGUAGAGGGCCAGUUGCAUCGGGGGGAGCAACAUUUUAGUGUAGUUGCUUACAGAGUUAGGUCAAUAUAAGCUGCCCUGUGUCAACUUUGUGAUGUUCACAUUCCAUCCUAUGGACCCUCAGCUACCACAUGUACAUACACGUGUGUGUAUGCACUUAACAAUAGACUAAAUUCUGCUGUUACAUCAGUGUAAGUCUGGAAUAAGUGUAAAUCUGGAAUUCAGCUGAGCUGAGCUACAAGUAUUUUAAAUUAAAAAAAAUCAGAGGAGUAACUCUGGAUUUACAUCAGUUUAUAUGGGAGCAGAAUUUAGCAUGCUCAGUCUUGAAAAUCACCUACUAGUGCUGCCACUGCUGGCCUGUCUUUGCUAUCAGAAAAGUAGCAUGUGAAAUAUUACUAGGUAGUUUGCUAUAACUGCAUUGUGUUGCUGUUUGUCAGAACUAAACAUAAAGCCACUGAUGUAACUGGGAGACAAACAUAACAUGUUCAACCAUAAAACUAUAGCUACAGAAUAUAUAACACCAUCAUUUUUUAUUGUCUUCAUAAUGGAGUGAUCCAGAGCGACGUGCAGUGGGAUGAUCAGCAAUUUGUGAAUUUUCUGCCAAGAGAACCAACCAAUGUCCUAUGAUGUCCAAGGGUAAUGCAGGUUUCCUUUAGAUAAACAUCAGAGGAAAGAAAUAGAGGCAAUUGAUUCCUCUUUUCUCCCUAACUGACCCUGCUAAUCUAACUCAAGGGGAAUAAUCAUGGAGACCAAAAUGUAAUGUAUAGCCAGGGCGCUGCGUAUUCAGUGGCAAGGUCUUCUGGUUUCUGCAGCUGACAGAGAAUGCUACGGCAGCUUCAGAUAAACUAAGAGGCAUAGUUUGGGGAUACAGGGUGACUUUGAAAUAAUGAAUGUUGUCCAUUUAUAUGUAAGUGUGUAACAGUGUUCAUUCAGAUAGGGGAGGAGAAAGAAGUGGCCUUGAGAAUGAAGAAGCAGAGAAUGAGACCCUGAAAGGGAAAUGGGAUGAGGAAAGAGCAGACCUGGAGGGGAGAGAGGUUGGGAAAGAGGGGCAAAUAAAACAGGCAAGUGAAGGACCUUUCAGGCCAGUGCUAGCUUGAGAGAGAGAGAGAGAAGGGAGUUAAGAGCAGAAGCCAAAGUGAGAAAAAACUAUGAGAAAAAGACACUCUAGGAGAUGAAGGUAGAUAGAAAAGGAGAGGAGGAGUAAUAAAGGCAUGACUUGGAGGGGGUAAAUACACUAAAAGGCAGACUGGAGACCAAAUAACAGAGGAGGGAAAGGAAUAUGGAGGGGACUGGUAUUCUGUUACUAUCUGACAUCAGAAGAGAUGACUUAUAUGCUAACAAUUCACAGGUUGGAAAGGAUAAUUAACAUACCUGCCUAUCUAUUUUGGCUACCUUUAAUUUUCAUUGCAGAGCGUGUAUUCAAAUGGAGUAAGGAACAUGACAUUUAAUUGGAUAAGAGGUGGAGUUUGCUAUUUAGGUGAUAACUUUCAGAGUAUGACUGAAAUUCUUCUGUACCUGGAUUUCUUGAAAAUACCUGGCUCUGCUCUAGUACCCAGCUAGUCAAUUUAUUUGUUUUUAUUUGUGCUGUUUAAAAAAGUUACUUAAAGACUCAGAUGAAAAAUAGCUUGAAAAGUUCAAUUAAAUGCAAUGCUUUCUAAUCUUUCUCUCCCCGUUGCAAUUUUAAAUCUUUAAUUGUAAAAGUCAUGCUCUAGUAUAGCUGUAAUACAUUGUAAACAUGUACUGUGAGUGAGUGUGUGUGUGUGUAUGUGUAUAUAUAAAUAUAUAUAUUUAUAUAUUGUAUAUUAUAAAUAUAUAUAUUUAUAUUUUUUGGAAGGCCAUCUGGUUCAAGGUUAAGUCAAGAUAUUCGAAAUUUGCUUGAGCUGAGAUAUAGAUAAGUGUAUCUGAACUGCGAUAUAAGCCACCCUAUUGCUGAACUGCAUUAUCUGAUUUUGAUAAUGUACAUCAGCUGAAAGGCUUCUUGUUGGGCUUCACUCUUGCCAUUAUGACUUCAAAAGAUGGCUGCACUUCAUUGCAGAUGAAUAUCUAACAAUUCUAAGGCGGAUUGGAACUAAUUUUGCUAGAUCAUUUUAAAGUAGAUUAUUUGAAAGUGUUUAGCAAUUUGUCAUGCGCUACUCUAGACAGCUAAACUCCUUAUUCUGGAAUAAAGAUAGAAAGUUCAAACUUUUGUCAGUAAAAGGAAGUGUAUUUUUCUUAGACUUGUAUCUUUCUGAUAUUUAUAAGGUAUAGUCCUUUGACACCAGGCAGUGUCAGUAUUUUAUUGUAUUACAGACUAUCAAAAAUAGAAUCUUUGUUUCUUAAGAGUUCAUCUGUUGCCCCAAGAAACAACCAAUUGUAAUGUCACUCUAGGAGUACAAUUUCAGGUGGGGCAAUCAGCAGAAGGAAAAGAUAAAGGUUUAAGAAACAACCAAAUCUUUCCUUUUAUAAAGGACUAGGCAAGAGAACUAUAGAAAACCUUCCAGUAGAGAGGGGCAGGAGGUUGGGAUUUGGUUUUGAAAAACCUCAUUGAUUUGAAUUCUGGCAUGGAGCAGUUCUGGUCUGGGUUACACUUUAUCUGAGGCACCAAACUGUGAGGAGAUAGGCCCAAAGCAGAACAUUUUAUCCAAUUUCAGUGUUAAAGCAAAAUUACUUUCAUUCUGGAAGUUGUUUGUUUUCUGUAAUAAACAGCUAACACUCCCCCACCCCAUAUUCCUCACCAUAAAAAGGACCUUUAGAAUUGAGUUUGAAAUAGUGUUCAAUGGUCAGUGAAUUUUCUACAGCUCAGUGGUCAAUGUGUAAUUUGUUUUCCUUGAAUACAGACAUUGUGCCUAUUUUAGGAAGCAAAACUGAUUGUGAGAGGUGCUCAAUCAAGAGCAGUCCCGCCAUUUGUACUUGUGAUGGUGCACUUGCUGGUUGUAUUUGUUGCCAUUUUGCAACAAGCCACAAUCUGAACUUGGAGAUGGUUAGAUAUAUGCAGGACUUUAGGUAUCAGCUCAAGACAAAAAAUAAGGGUUCAAAUUCAGAAGAUGCAUAUAUGGAGGGUGCGAGAGACCACUGAAGGAUUAAGUGUUUGAGGCUUAUAUAAGAUUUGGAAAUUCAUACAAUCCUGAGGCUGUGUAUAAAUAGUACCUUUGUAUUUGAAGGGCACAUUUCAGACCUUCACAAAUAGGAUACAUAUGUUCUGAAUGGAAUAGCUGAAAGCAGACCAGAAUCAAUUUUAAGAGAUUUAGAGGACCCUGGCUGUAUUCAUAUUGUGUUUCAUUAUGUUUCUACUCCACCUGGCGGCUCCCCAAACAUCCCCCUCCUCCCCACACAUCAGUUUGAUAUCUGCAUUGUAAAUAGAACUCAGCACAAAUGCAUUAGUUUGAAUGGGGUCUCCUUCUAUGAGAGAUUCUUCUUUAAUAGUUUCAGAGUAGCAGCCGUGUUAGUCUGUAUUCGCAAAAAGAAAAGGAGUACU